GCAGCACGGGGGCAACCCUGGUGGCGAGUGGCGAACGGGUGAGUAAUAUAUCGGAACGUGCCCUGGAGUGGGGGAUAACGUAGCGAAAGUUACGCUAAUACCGCAUACGAUCUACGGAUGAAAGUGGGGGAUUCGCAAGAACCUCAUGCUCGUGGAGCGGCCGAUAUCUGAUUAGCUAGUUGGUGGGGUAAAAGCCUACCAAGGCGACGAUCAGUAGCUGGUCUGAGAGGACGACCAGCCACACUGGAACUGAGACACGGUCCAGACUCCUACGGGAGGCAGCAGUGGGGAAUUUUGGACAAUGGGCGCAAGCCUGAUCCAGCAAUGCCGCGUGAGUGAAGAAGGCCUUCGGGUUGUAAAGCUCUUUUGUCAGGGAAGAAACGGUGGGCUCUAAUACAGGCCACUAAUGACGGUACCUGAAGAAUAAGCACCGGCUAACUACGUGCCAGCAGCCGCGGUAAUACGUAGGGUGCAAGCGUUAAUCGGAAUUACUGGGCGUAAAGCGUGCGCAGGCGGUUUGGUAAGACAGAUGUGAAAUCCCCGGGCUCAACCUGGGAAUUGCAUUUGUGACUGCCCGGCUAGAGUGUGUCAGAGGGGGGUAGAAUUCCACGUGUAGCAGUGAAAUGCGUAGAGAUGUGGAGGAAUACCGAUGGCGAAGGCAGCCCCCUGGGAUGACACUGACGCUCAUGCACGAAAGCGUGGGGAGCAAACAGGAUUAGAUACCCUGNUAGUCCACGCCCUAAACGAUGUCUACUAGUUGUCGGGUCUUAAUUGACUUGGUAACGCAGCUAACGCGUGAAGUAGACCGCCUGGGGAGUACGGUCGCAAGAUUAAAACUCAAAGGAAUUGACGGGGACCCGCACAAGCGGUGGNUGAUGUGGAUUAAUUCGAUGCAACGCGAAAACCUUACCUACCCUUGACNU
RNAcentral lists this ribosomal RNA (923 nucleotides) under uncultured bacterium. RNAcentral's name for it is "bacterial SSU rRNA". It matches the Rfam family "Bacterial small subunit ribosomal RNA", at positions 69 to 987 of the family's 1533-position model. The record is from RNAcentral.